GCGGAAGUUUUCGGAUGGAAGCAAUAAACCUUAUCGGCGGACGGGUGAGUAACGCGUGGGUAACCUGCCUCAUACAGGGGGAUAACAGUUAGAAAUGACUGCUAAAACCGCAUAAGCGCACAUUGUCGAGUGGCAGAGUGUGAAAAACUCCGGUGGUAUGAGAUGGACCCGCGUCUGAUUAGCUAGUUGGUGAGGUAACGGCCCACCAAGGCGACGAUCAGUAGCCGGCCUGAGAGGGCGACCGGCCACAUUGGGACUGAGACACGGCCCAAACUCCUACGGGAGGCAGCAGUGGGGAAUAUUGCACAAUGGGGGAAACCCUGAUGCAGCGACGCCGCGUGAGUGAAGAAGUAUUUCGGUAUGUAAAGCUCUAUCAGCAGGGAAGAAGAAAGACGGUACCUGACUAAGAAGCCCCGGCUAACUACGUGCCAGCAGCCGCGGUAAUACGUAGGGGGCAAGCGUUAUCCGGAUUUACUGGGUGUAAAGGGAGCGUAGACGGCUGUGCAAGUCUGAAGUGAAAGCCCAGGGCUCAACCCUGGGACUGCUUUGGAAACUGUGGAGCUAGAGUGCUGGAGAGGUAAGUGGAAUUCCUAGUGUAGCGGUGAAAUGCGUAGAUAUUAGGAGGAACACCAGUGGCGAAGGCGGCUUACUGGACAGUAACUGACGUUGAGGCUCGAAAGCGUGGGGAGCAAACAGGAUUAGAUACCCUGGUAGUCCACGCGGUAAACGAUGAAUACUAGGUGUUGGAGAGCAAAGCUUUUCGGUGCCGUCGCAAACGCAAUAAGUAUUCCACCUGGGGA
RNAcentral lists this ribosomal RNA (800 nucleotides) under uncultured bacterium. RNAcentral describes it as "bacterial SSU rRNA". It matches the Rfam family "Bacterial small subunit ribosomal RNA", at positions 64 to 879 of the family's 1533-position model. The record is from RNAcentral.